Long non-coding RNA from Numida meleagris (helmeted guineafowl), 850 nucleotides. RefSeq lists it as uncharacterized. The transcript has 3 exons. The record is from RefSeq and is a predicted model, not a curated record. NCBI's taxonomy places the organism in Eukaryota, Metazoa, Chordata, Aves, Galliformes, Numididae.
UUUUUUUUUUUUUUUUUACCCCAGUAUUCUAAGGCUGCUCUAAGGAGUGCUGACAGCCGGGUAACUCAGAGGGCUGUGCAAUGCUAGGGAGCAGCCUCGCAAUCCCUCUGCAUUCAGAGGCUGUGUAUGGCAAGGGAGCCCUCUGGAUGGGCACUGGAGAAACUUUUCAGCAGUAGAAUUGGCCUUAGAGCAGUGAUAAGGACGUUUUUGUUGGUGAGAGGCCUACAGAACUCCAGCCUGGCCCUUCUGGCAUAUAAAAAUAGAGCAGAAAAGGGCAACCAGGCUGGCUGGCAGCAGAUGAUAGCGCCUGGGAUUUCAAGGCACUGUAGCUCUGCAGGGGAUAGAGAACUGCUGAACUGCUUGUCAAACCUACUGCUCAAGAAUGAGUUCCUGCAGGAUGAGGUGUCUUUGAUUACUAGUGAAUCCGACAUGCAACUCCAGGGCUGAAACCAGGGAGCAAACAACCCUUCACAGCCAGCGUGCGUUCAGCACCUAACAGAAGAUUCAGCCAACAGCACCCUCCUCACUUGAUCUCACCAGUGCCUUUCUUCUGCCUGGGGAGUCAGGGAUGCCUGCCCCUUUCCUUCCUCAAACACCCAUCCUUGUUCCUGGCUGGCAGCAUUUCUCCCUUCACAGCCAGAGUGCAAUCAGUCUGGCUGUUGUCUAUUCAAAGCUUGUUGUCAUUCUGCUUCUGCUAUGCCUAAUCUCUGAUUCUCCUGAAAAUAGACCCUAUGGUAAGAAAACAUUUUCUGCUAUUUCAUGCCUUCUUUUAGUUAUUUUGAUACCUGCUUAUCUGUACUCCUCAUAACUCACUGAUACAGUUCCUCCCUCUGUUUUGUAGAUACUUGAA